CCCAAAAUACAGGAAUUUUUAGGCCUUGAUAUUGGUACUGGGUGUGGAACCCAGGGCCUCACAGAUCUUCUCAACCAGCUGGCUCUCUCAGUUGGCUUGUCUGUCUCUGUGCCUUCCCUGGAGGAGAGUCAAAUCACUGUCCUUUGUCCCCUUCUAUAUGGGGACAUCCUACAGGGCCCACUGUUACCUCAGACAGGAGCUGUGGCAAGAUGGUACACCCCUACCAUGUGACCUUCAGGAAGUCGCUUAGCCUGAUGGCUUUUCAACCUUAAGCAGGGAGCCAGGACUGUGGGUGAAAUGACAGUCUGUCUCUGUGCAGGGAUAAGCAUGGACCAAAACCAGCUUGGGAAGAAGGGGGUUUCUUUGGUUUAUGACUUACAGUCCAUCCUGGAGGGAAGUCAGGACAGAAACCCCAGGACUAUCUGCUCAAGAACGACACUGCCCACGGCAUGCUGUCCCUUCUACAGCAAUCAUCAAUAUAGAAGAUGCCCCUCAGCUUCCCUCUUCUCAGAUGUCUCUAGGCUGUGUGGAGUUGACAAACAACCACUCUACACACAUGUCUACGUGUUUCGCAGAGAACAGCACAUGCUCCUGGGAGAAGAGCAAAAGGACAGCAGGACAGCUUACGGUUUGGUCCUGGGGAAUCUGGGGAAGAAACUGACAAGAGUCUUGCGGACUUGGUUUUCAUCCCAUACCCAUGGAUUCACACCCACAAAAGCAACUCACAAAGCAGCCAGUGCUUGGAAUUUAUAUGCCAGUCUCCAGGAGAGGAGGCUAUGGUGGGUAACCUUGUUACCUACUUAAUGGGAUUUGACUCACUACAGAAGCAAACCUCUGCGUGCGUCUAUGAAGUUUCCAGAUUGUAUUCACGGGAGUGGGGAGACCCGUCCCGCCGGGGCAGCACAGUCCAUGAGCUGGAAUGUCCGGCUUAAUGAAAAGGAGUGAGCCUAACCGAACAGAGCUGAGCAUGCGCUUCUUUCUCCCCCUCUCCCCCCUCCCCCUCCUCCUUCCUGGAGUGAGUCGAGCAGAGCAUGCGCAUCUCUCUCUGCUUCCUGGCUGUCGAUGGAGCUGCCUCUUCCUCCUGCCUCCACCUUCCCACUCUGAGAGAUGCUACCCUUCAACCACCCUCGCAGAUAAUCCCAAAGGCUCAAAGGUUUGCUUCCCACCUGAUUCUGGAUCCUGUCAAGGUCACAGUCACUACUGACAGGUGCCGAAUUUGUUUCUAUUUCCUGACCUCUGGGUUCAUCUGCCUGGGUAAGAAACUCGGAGGCUUAUGGCAUGUCCCCAUGACACAGAACACAGAUGAAGGUCAAAGCUCUUACCGUGAAGGCCUCCCAACCUGACUUCAGUGCCCAUGCUGGCUCCAGACUUUUCAGCAUUUGCUUCAAACUCAAAUUCAGCCCAUUCAGCAGAAGAUGACCUUGAACUUCUGAUCUUCUGCCUCCGUGUCCAAAGCACCAGGAACGCAGGCAAGCGGCCGGGAGUCAGAAUACUAAGAUGGAGGAACUUGGCAAAACAUGAGAAGAGAGAGAAGCCUCUCACCACCACCAGCAGCAGGGCCAGAAUUCUAGCAAAAUUAACUGUUUCGGGCUCUCUCUGUUCCCAGCCGCAAACCUGAAGUUUACUAGAAACUGUACCAGAAAACCCAGCAGGAAGAGGUCGCAGCACUAGCGACUGCUGGGUUUACUUUAUCAGGUUUCUACCCAUCCAAGGGCUGGAGAGAUGGCUCAGUGGUUAAGAGCACCGACUCCUCUUCCGAAGGUCCUGAGUUCAAAUUCCAGCAACCACAUGGUCACUCACAACCAUCUGUAAUGAGAUCCGAUACCCUCUUCUGGUGCAUCUGAAGACAGCUACAGUGUACUUAGAUAUAAUAAUAAAUAAAUCUUUAAAAAAGAUUGUCUCUAGGAGACAAAUCUCUGC
Molecule: long non-coding RNA, 1920 nt
Organism: Mus musculus (house mouse)
Lineage: Eukaryota; Metazoa; Chordata; Mammalia; Rodentia; Muridae
Product: predicted gene, 41937
Exons: 5
Source: RefSeq, a predicted model, not a curated record